RNAcentral lists this ribosomal RNA (253 nucleotides) under uncultured prokaryote. RNAcentral describes it as "partial 16S ribosomal RNA". It matches the Rfam family "Bacterial small subunit ribosomal RNA", at positions 525 to 777 of the family's 1533-position model. The record is from RNAcentral.
ACGUAGGGUGCGAGCGUUAAUCGGAAUUACUGGGCGUAAAGCGUGCGUAGGUGGUUCGCUAAGUCUGAUGUGAAAGCCCUGGGCUCAACCUGGGAAUGGCAUUGGAAACUGGCGACCUAGAGUGCGGUAGAGGGUAGUGGAAUUCCCGGUGUAGCAGUGAAAUGCGUAGAGAUCGGGAGGAACAUCUGUGGUGAAGGCGACUACCUGGACCAGCACUGACACUGAGGCACGAAAGCGUGGGGAGCAAACAGGA